Molecule: long non-coding RNA, 757 nt
Filed under: Nicotiana benthamiana
Lineage: Eukaryota; Viridiplantae; Streptophyta; Magnoliopsida; Solanales; Solanaceae
Description: long non-coding RNA (NBEN_LNC041913)
Source: RNAcentral
CAGCAACCACCAGAGCUGCCAUUUCCUGGCGGUUAAGACCCCCAUCGCCAUUUGUAUCAAAAUUCUGGAAGAUUCUUUUCACCUUCUCCGAUCUGCUCCCCCUAGUCGCCAUUUCCUCUUUUCAGUCGAAAUUUACGUUUCUUUUAACAAAAAAUUCGCAAUGCAUAUUGUAGGGUUUCUAAAUAAUUAGUGAUCUCGGAUAACAAGAAAUUGAUUAGGGUUCUUUUAACAAAAAGUUUGCAAUGCUUAUUCUAGGGUUUCUAAAUAAUUUGUUAUCUUAGAUAACAAGAAAGUGUUACAUUCGGGGUAGAGAAUCUGUAAUUGGGUGGUUUCAGGAGGAAAAAAAUAGGGUUCCAGAAAAAUAAAAUUGAGCAACAAAUAGUAAGGUUCUUAAAGAAGUGGGAAAACUUGAACACCCUCAAUUGAAUUAACAAAAACCUAGUUGAAAGGAGGGUAUUUUACAGUGGAAGCAAAUAUGGAUUCUGAAGAAUUGGAUUAAAAUGAAGUGGAAGCAUAUAAAACAAGAUUCUCAACUAAAGAUUAUUCAAAGAAUUUGAAUAGUCAUUAAUUUGCAAAACCUGAAUGGAAGAUGAAGGCUUGAGGGUAAUAGAAUAGCAUGUAAUAGAAUGCAGAUGUAGAGGAGGAAAGGGAAGAUUACUCUUUUUCUUCCACUUUGCAUUUUACAUUUUCUUCGAGUGUUUGUGACUACUUUUAGACAUUGUUUUGGACAACAAAACAACUAGGACUAUUAUAUAUC